GUGGAUUAGAUACCCUAGUAGUCCACGCCGUAAACGAUGGAUACUAGCUGUUGGGGGCAACUUCAGUGGCUAAGCGAAAGUGAUAAGUAUCCCACCUGGGGAGUACGUUCGCAAGAAUGAAACUCAAAGGAAUUGACGGGGGCCCGCACAAGCGGUGGAGCAUGUGGUUUAAUUCGAUGAUACGCGAGGAACCUUACCAAGGCUUAAAUGUAGUUUGACCGAUUUGGAAACAGAUUUUUCGCAAGACAAAUUACAAGGUGCUGCACGGCCGUCGCCAGCU
This 280-nucleotide ribosomal RNA is filed under the name uncultured bacterium. Its description in RNAcentral is "partial 16S ribosomal RNA". It matches the Rfam family "Bacterial small subunit ribosomal RNA", at positions 773 to 1060 of the family's 1533-position model. The record is from RNAcentral.